UGGAGAACACUGAAUUCUAGAGUACUUUUUCAAAAGGUCCUAUGCGCCAAAAGUAAACAAACUGAGUUAUACAAUGCAUGACGUUCUGCAUAUCCGAAACUACACUAUCCUCAAACCCGAUUUCUUUUAAGCAUUUAAUUUUUAAAAUUAUUAGCGAAAUGCAAAAUAACCUAUGAGCAUUCUCUUAAAUUUUCAUACAAAAUAAUUUACGUCGUUUUACCUCUCAGUGUCCUAUGUGCAUUCAGUAAAAUGAUGCACAUACGACAAUAACAAAUCGACCUAUGUACAAUUUUAAAUAUAUUUCAAUCAUUAUGCACAUACGCUAAUAUAAUAACGACGUAUGUACGCAUUUUAUUGAAUAAUUAGAAAGUAAUGAUAGAUUUUUUUAUAUCCAUAUAUCUUUUUAAAAAUAAUGUUUGCCUAGGUUCCGGUUAACGUGUAGACGUCAGCUGUAAGAGAGUAUGAAAUGUUUCAAUGCCUGACACAGCAAAAGAGAAGAGCAAAAUUUAACCAAUGAGCUCUCUCUCCCGAAUCUGGCGGAUACGACUCCCAGCAUGACAUACCAAAACAACUCAUAAAACAGCAUAAAAUAUGUUUUUUGUUUUGGUUGAUAGGAUCCCGGACAGAUCAUUGUUGUGGACUGUCUGAGUUUUUAAAGAAAAGUGUCGGAGGGCGAAGGAUUGCGGCAACAAAAAAAUACGCACUGCUUUACGGUACCUGGUCCCCGACAACGACCAACCAAGCGGCGGCGGACGUGGUACGGAGGACGCUUCUAGAAACCUUAAAAAAGAGCGCGCCAUCCGCUUCGUGGUCAUGGUCUGUCAGAGAACCUCAAGACGAACGUCGAGUACAUUAAGAUUGCCGGAACCCGGGCGGAUCGGCUAUCAACAACUUCGCCAACGGCAAACUCAUAAUUACGCACGCAGAUGCAGGUCGUCUGGGCCGCUUGGGACAACGUGUCCGAGAAUCCAAAAAUGCACGAGCUGCUGAGACUAGUGUUUCUGAGGCCACCGGAGUGGGCGGAAACAUAGAGGUUGCGGCGGUUAAGGGGUUACAUACAUGUAGAAAAUCACAAAAUGUCAUAUUACAGAUUUUUUUUUGAAUCCA
Long non-coding RNA from Culex quinquefasciatus (southern house mosquito), 1107 nucleotides. RefSeq lists it as uncharacterized. The record is from RefSeq and is a predicted model, not a curated record. The transcript is spliced from 2 exons. NCBI's taxonomy places the organism in Eukaryota, Metazoa, Arthropoda, Insecta, Diptera, Culicidae.